Molecule: long non-coding RNA, 5252 nt
Filed under: Sus scrofa (pig)
Lineage: Eukaryota; Metazoa; Chordata; Mammalia; Artiodactyla; Suidae
Description: lncRNA (ENSSSCG00040046660.1)
Source: RNAcentral
UUUUUUUUUUUUUUUUUUUUUUUUGGUUUUUAGGGAUGCACCCAUGGCAUAUGGAGGUUCCCAGGCUAGGGGUCCAAUUGGAGUUGUAUCUGCCAGCCUAUGCCACAGCCAUGGCAACUAGGGAUCCAAGCCAUGUCUGUGACCUACACCACAGCUCAUGGCAACGCCAGAUCCUUAACCCACAGAGCUAGGCCAGGGAUCAAACCUGCAUCCCCACAGACACUAGUUGGAUUCACUUCCGCUGAGCCACAACAGGAACUCCUCUUGUUCUUAUUCUUAUAAAAUGCACUCUGAGGUAUCUAAGGGUAAAUAAACAUGAUCCCUGCAAUCUGCACUUAAAGGAUAUGUGAAAAAAUUAUAUUUCUAUUUAAACAUCUCUAUCCUUCUAGGCACAUAUAUAACAUAUAUUUAUAUGUGUACAUACAACCCCAGAUAGAAAGAAAGAAAGAAAGAGAGAGAGAGAGAGGGAACUAGGAAAUAUUGCAAAAUGUUAACAAAUAGUGAAUCUAGGUAAACGGUAUAGAGAAAUCAUUGUACUAUUUUUAUAAAUUUUUAGUGAGACUGAGAUCAUUUCGAAAAAGGAUUUUUAUUUAAAAAGUUAUAUUAUCAGUUAAUAAGAUAUCUAAUAAAACAGAAAGCAAACAAUAAUUGCUCAUGAUAUAUAAUAAAAGGUAGAAAUACUUUUUAAAUGUCGUGGUUAAUACUGUGAAUUUAUAUUCAUGAGUACAUAUAUUAAUUUAAUAUUUCCACUGUAUCCCAAAAAUAUAAGCAUAUACAGUCAAUAAGCAACCAUGUGCAAGAAAUCUAAUUUCUAGAAAAACUGAAAGGAUGACCUCGAUAGCACUUUGGAGUAUCAAUUAUUCUCAGAGUAAGAAUUAUCACCAUUAAUAAUCAGAAAAUAAACAGUGGUUAUUAACAGUGAUACACUCAUACUAAGUGAAGUAAAUCAGAAAAGAGAAAGACAAAUACUAUACGAUGUCAUUUAUAUCUGGAAAAUAAUAUAUGGCACAAAAAUGAAUCUUUCCACAGAAAAGAAACUCAGGGACUUGGAGAAGAGACUUGUGGUUGCCAAAGGGGUGAGGGGUGAUGAACUGGGAGUCUGGGGUUAAUCAAUGCAAACUAUUGCAUGUGGAGUGGAUAAGCAAUGAGAUCCUGCUGUAUAGCACAGGGCACUAUAUCUAGUCCCUUAUGAUGGAACAUAAUGGAGGAUAAUGAGAGAAAAAGAAUGUAUAUAUAUGUGUGACUGGGUCACUUUGCUGUACAGCUGAAAUUGUCAGAACGCUGUAAACCAACUGUAAGGGAAAAAAUAAAAAUCAUUUAAAAAAAGAAAAUAUGGAAAUUCAAUACUUUUUAGAGAAAUAAAUUACCUUUUCAAAUAUUCCGCUUCCCUUAAAACACUGUAAGUCAAUUGAUACAUAAAAAUUAUAAAACAAUUAUGGUCUAAGAUAGUUGAGAAAAAAACAAAAUGUUCUCACUUAAAAUAACAGGUGUUCCUGCCAUGGCGCAGUAGGUUAAGAAUCCAACUGCAGGGGCUUGGGUUGCUGCAGAGAUGUGGGUUCAAUCCCUGGCCUGGGAACUUCCAUAUGAAGCAGGUUGCAGCCAUUUAAAAAAAGAAAAGAAAAGAACAGUGGACAAUUUCAAAGUAAAACUAAGGAUAUUAAGAAAUAGGAGUUUGUGGGAUUUAGUCUAUAAAUAGUUUGGGGAAAAUAGCCGCUUUGAAUAUGCUCUGCACACAUACUGGCAGAUCUGAUAAGAAUUCUAAGGUAUGAAGGGAAUUCAUUAAUGAGCUCAUCACAGCCUGAAUUAUUUUUAUAAGGUCUUGAAGAACUGAGAAGUUGCUAGGGGACUGAAAGAAAAUUAAUGUAAUUGUAUCUUUUAAAAGGUGAUUGAAGCAAUUAACAUCAAAUAAGUCACAAAAAAAAUAGCCUGCAACACAGAAGAAACCAGAGAAGAAAACUAUAUCCAAAGAAUGAUAGGUAACAUGUCCCUACCAAGAAAAGUUCAUGAGUCUUAAAAUAGGUUAGAAUUUCAAAGGGGAGUUCAUCAGCUGCUCCCCCUCAACUGUGAACUCCUUGGAGACAAGGGGAUGUCUACUCAAAUUUGAGUAAAACGCUAUAGAUAUUUAGCAAAUAAAUGGGAGUAAAGAAGGAAAAGGAAAAAAGGAAAGGAGGGAAGGUGAAUGGAUUAUUGAGGGAAAUGGAAUAUGUUAACUGAACAUCAAUGCACUACAGUGUGACUUACACAAAACACUUACUAACUCAUGAAUGGCUCAAACUAAAAAUAUAUGUAAAGCAUUAUGGUGACUAAGAAUGAUUAAGUAUGGUACUGAACAAAUUCACUCUGUUAUUCCAUGUUCAAUAAACAACCAGGAUAGUUCAGAAGGAAAAAAAAUAUGCUAUUGUUUCAUUGUUUUGUUUCUAGGAAGCAAUUCUAUUUGUGGAAAUGCAAUGGUUUUGAACCUGAUGACAGAAUAAGUUGUUUGCUUCUAGGUACUUUUACUAUAACUUGCCAUAGACUUCUGUGCUGCAAGCAUUUUUGCCACAUAAAUAAUUGGCCAUAAGGCAAUUUUGCCAUAAAAAGAAAACAAAAAACAGAAAGAGAACAUUAAAAAGUACAUACAAAAACAAAAAAAAAGUGAAAAAUAAAUAAGAAAAAAUUUUAAAGACUUUAUUGUGAAAUACAAAAUAUUCGAAUACACUUAAAAUGUGUGUAGAUUCAUGGCAAUAUUGCACAAAUAACUGAUUUUAUUUUGUGGGUUGUACCUAAGCACCUGUCUUGGAAUUCUUUCACUCGCAGGAUCACACAGUUGUUUUGUUUGUUGAUUUGUUUUCCUUGUUCAGCACUGAACUUUUUUCUUUUUGCUAAAACUUCUUCCUACAUUAAGAGAGGUAUCAGGAAAUUCCCUGGUGGUGCAGUGGGUUAAGGAUCCAGUGUUGCCACUACUGUAGGCUUGGGUUGCUGCUGUGGCGUGGAUUCAAUCCCUGUCCUGGGAACCUUUUUAUGCCACAGGCGAGGCCCAAAAAGAGAGAGAGAAGUAUCAGUUUCCAAAUAUUAGGAUGCAUAUUUAUAACUCGAGCUUUGAGUUGCAUUGUGAAAGCCUAUUUUGUACUGUUGUUUGUUCUUGGCAUAUUGUCAUUAUCUGUUGACAGAUGUCCCAAGGUUCAAUGGGAAAUGUGGAUUCAACUCUGUACCUUCUGGGCCCUCAGCCUCCUUCAGAUUUAUGUAAUAUAAAAACAGGAACACUAGAUCAAUGCUCCAGUUAGUGUAUAUUUUAUAGCAAAAUGGACUUAUGGCCAAUUAGUUAUGCAAAGAAAAUGCAGCAAAAAUGUUUGGCAAAAAAAUACCAAAUAUGAUUUUAAUUCAGUAUAGGAAUUAGCCCCUGGUCAAGAAAUAUAAACAAGAUAUAACUAAUAACCUCCAUGAUAUCUUGAGGAAUGAGGAAUAUAAACAGGUGACAGUGCAAGAAGUACAAGUUGCAAGAGUUUAAUACAGGACUCAAGUUUGACUUCCUGAAACAAUAAAUUCCUGUAUAAAGAGGAAGGUAAGGGUACAAAUAUUUGUCAUCUCACUUUCUGAAUGAUUAACAAACUACAUCAAGCCUCAAAGGAUAAAUGACAACAUUUUUAAUCUAAGAGCUCACUUCUGGAAUGAUCUACAAAUAAUUUGUAAAAGUCACCACAUCUCUAAGAUGUUAUAUUCUAUGCCCCUCUCAGGGAGAGAUUUAUCUAAGAUGCUGAGAGCAUUAUUUUACACUUGAUAUACAAAUAUCUCCAAAAAAAUGUUUGUCUUUUACCUUGUCUGUAGAGCACCAGGUAUACUCUGGACAAAAAAUAAUAAAGAAUAAAGAGAUCCUUAAAUCCCAAGAAUAAAUAACCAAGACAUCAGGACACAAGCUGCUGGCAAAACAUCCUACAAAUCUAUUAACAGCCUGACUGAAGAUAAUCAGAAUAAUCAGAUCAACUCAUUUCACAGCAUGAGCAGGGUUAUUUUGUAUAUACAGGGAUUAAAUAAGGAUCAUGAAAACCGACAAAAAGAUUUCUACUGUUGCCCUAUCCUUUCACAGCAAAACAUUUUUUAAAAUUUCAUUUGUCUUCAUUAAUUUUAAAGAAAGGCCUCUUUCAGUUGCUACUUGAAGACAAAAUAAUUUUGAUGAGAGUCCUAUUUUCCUCUAGAGAAGAGUCUCAAAACAGUCUUCCAGCUGAAAAAUUGAUAAUUUACAGUAACUCCUCCUUACUUUACACUCUUUACCUAGAUUUCUUAAAUUUAUUGGCGAGUUCAUGCUUCUUGAAUGGUUUCUGCAAUUGAAAGUUCCAGCCAAUGAAUAGAGAAGGCAGAGAGGAAAUCAUGAGAAUAAGAAAUUAGAGACAGGAAGUGAGUACUUGUAUAAUUUUACUUGUUCCAUCACAAUAGAAGCUCCCGCCCAAGCUCUGAAACAUCUUUCACUGACAAGGAUGAAAGACAUCAGCGGGUAGAUGACUAGCUGUUACACCUGCACUUGGGUGUGUUUGAAAUUACUGACUCAUUCAGCAAUGGUUCUCUGGUAGGCUUGAAACUCUUUGCUCUUCAACCUCAACUGACAAAGUGAUGAUGCUAAAUUAAAAAAAAAGAAAAAGAAAAGAAAGACACUGAUUGGAAUCAAAGGAAAAUUUUGCCAAUACCAAAAAACAAUUCCCCUUUGAUAGUUCACUAAUCCAACAGGAAGGCACUCCUUCCCACCCAGAAUUUUCUAUCUUUUAGCACAGCAUCUACUUUCUUCUAGUUUGAAAAUACAGUGUUUUCCUGGUUUUGAAACAUAAUCACUAUUUACAUUAAUUCUAAGAAGGGAAUUGGCUGCCUAAUUAUGAUAUUGAUGUUUUCUUUGUCUAAUUGGGUAGGUCAAGGCACUAAUUUGAUUCACAGCUGUGGCAUGUUUUUAUAGACUUUAGUGAACUUUAAUUGCUUAUAAAUAUUAGAUUAUAAGACCAUGAACCUUCAGUAGAAUCCUGUUCAGCCCCAUAUGCUUUCCAAUUUGACAAUAUGUUGCCCAUUUUCUAAGACUCCUUCAUUCCAAAUGGCCCUGAGGGCAAGAAAGAAAGAAAUAACACAUAUGGCUCACGUAGCUGAAGUCCAUUAUGAUUUUUGCUGUUGACAGUAUCUAAUGAGUUAUUGUCAGGAAAAAAGAUAUUGUCAAUAAGCCUUUUCUUCCAUAAUAAUAAAACUGAAAUACAAAGAUAGCACAGCUCAGUGCCCUGUAGAUUAAUUGUGAAAGUAUU